UGCCUACGGGAGGCUGCAGUGGGGAAUAUUGCACAAUGGGCGAAAGCCUGAUGCAGCGACGCCGCGUGGAGGAUGAAGGUUUUCGGAUUGUAAACUCCUGUUAAGUGGGAAGAAAGACUCAUACCUAAUACGUAUGGGGGAUGACGGUACCACUAGAGAAAGCACCGGCAAACUUCGUGCCAGCAGCCGCGGUAAUACGAAGGGUGCUAGCGUUAUUCGGAAUGACUGGGCGUAAAGAGCGUACAGGCGGUUUGUUAAGUCAACUGUUAAAUCACUCAGCUUAACUGGGUAUCUGCAGAUGAAACUGGCGAACUAGAGUGCAGGAGAGAAAGGUAGAAUUCUCGGAGUAGCGGUAAAAUGCGUAGAUCUCGAGAGGAAUACCGGUUGCGAAGGCGGCCUUUUGGCCUGUUACUGACGCUAAAGCGCGAAAGCGUGGGGAGCAAACAGGAUUAGAUACCCUGGUAGUC
RNAcentral lists this ribosomal RNA (467 nucleotides) under uncultured bacterium. RNAcentral's name for it is "bacterial SSU rRNA". It matches the Rfam family "Bacterial small subunit ribosomal RNA", at positions 335 to 795 of the family's 1533-position model. The record is from RNAcentral.